GCCUUCAACUUCAGGCGAGCAAAUAUUGAAUUAGUAUAGGUGAAGUGUUCUUGUGAAGAAUCUGUGAAAUCAAGAAUUUCUAGAAAGCACGCUGGCUAGAGAG
RNAcentral lists this microRNA precursor (103 nucleotides) under Procavia capensis (Cape rock hyrax). Its description in RNAcentral is "miRNA (ENSPCAG00000019473.1)". Lineage: Eukaryota; Metazoa; Chordata; Mammalia; Hyracoidea; Procaviidae. The record is from RNAcentral.